GAUGAACGCUGGCGGCGCGCCUAACACAUGCAAGUCGAACGGUUAAAGCAUCUUCGGAUGUGCAUAAAGUGGCGAACGGCUGAGUAACACGUGGGCAACCUGCCCCUCGCAUCGGGACAGCCUCGGGAAACCGUGGUUAAUACCGGAUACUCCGCCACCCCCGCAUGGGGGAGGCGGGAAAGCCCAGACGGCGAGGGAUGGGCCCGCGGCCUGUUAGCUUGUUGGUGGGGCAGUGGCCCACCAAGGCGAUGAUGGGUAGCCGGGUUGAGAGACCGACCGGCCAGAUUGGGACUGAGACACGGCCCAGACUCCUACGGGAGGCAGCAGUGGGGAAUCUUGCACAAUGGGCGAAAGCCUGAUGCAGCGACGCCGCGUGCGGGACGAAGGCCUUCGGGUCGUAAACCGCUUUCAGCAGGGACGAGGCCGCAAGGUGACGGUACCUGCAGAAGAAGCCCCGGCUAACUACGUGCCAGCAGCCGCGGUAAUACGUAGGGGGCGAGCGUUAUCCGGAUUCAUUGGGCGUAAAGCGCGCGUAGGCGGCCUGCUAGGUCGGGAGUCAAAUCCGGGGGCUCAACCCCCGUCCGCUCCCGAUACCGGCUGGCUUGAGUCUGGUAGGGGAAGGUGGAAUUCCCAGUGUAGCGGUGGAAUGCGCAGAUAUUGGGAAGAACACCGGUGGCGAAGGCGGCCUUCUGGGCCACGACUGACGCUGAGGCGCGAAAGCUAGGGAGCGAACAGG
This 736-nucleotide ribosomal RNA is filed under the name uncultured Coriobacteriaceae bacterium. RNAcentral's name for it is "bacterial SSU rRNA". It matches the Rfam family "Bacterial small subunit ribosomal RNA", at positions 28 to 776 of the family's 1533-position model. Lineage: Bacteria; Bacillati; Actinomycetota; Coriobacteriia; Coriobacteriales; Coriobacteriaceae. The record is from RNAcentral.